GACGAACCGUGCGAACGUUGUUCGGAAUCACUGGGCUUAAAGGGCGCGUAGGCGGGCUGCCAAGUUCGGGGUGAAAUCCUCCCGCUCAACGGGAGAACGGCCUCGAAUACUGGCGGUCUCGAGGGAGGUAGGGGCGUGCGGAACUAUGGGUGGAGCGGUGAAAUGCGUUGAUAUCCAUAGGAACUCCGGUGGCGAAGGCGGCACGCUGGACCUCUUCUGACGCUGAGGCGCGAAAGCCAGGGGAGCAAACGGG
Molecule: ribosomal RNA, 253 nt
Filed under: uncultured bacterium
Lineage: Bacteria
Description: partial 16S ribosomal RNA
Rfam family: Bacterial small subunit ribosomal RNA
Source: RNAcentral